GGGACCACCAUCCUGCCUCUGUGGUCAGUGACCUCAAAAUAGGGGUGGAGAAGCCCUCUGAGUGCUUUUGGUUUUCAUCCUCACGGGACUAGUGCAGGGGUGAGGUAGAAGUGCUCGCCCUCCCCCCAGAAAGAGGUCUGGGGAGGCUGCGGUCUGCCAACCCCAGCUCCUCUCCGCUUCCACCCUGCACCCACCUCGCUUCAGCCACCUGCCUCCCACCCACCUCGGGGAGAAACGGAGGCCAAAUCCCUCCUCCAUGGGAUGUGGGGGUCUCUAAGGGAAAGGCUAAGCUGGGCCAGGUCCUGGGUGAGCCCCAAAUGCAGGGCGGGGCCAGGGAAGCAGCCGGCUUAACCACUGCGGGAGGGUGUGCUCCCUGGCUGGCGGGCUAUCCCCCAGGGGCAGGUGCCCCCGCGAGGGACCCCGCUCCACAUGCUCCCAGGGCAGCAGGAAGGUCAGGAGGCAGGAGCCUGGGUCCAGUCCCAGCUCGGAGCCUUGGGCUGGAGGUUCUCCCCCGUGCCUCAGUUUCUCCUUGUGUCAGAGGACCAUCAGCCCUAGAAGAGCCCUUCCCUUUCCUGGUGGACCUGGAGACGCCGGACCCUCCCUCAGCACCCCAAGCCUCCAGCUAGGACCCCACUCUGGGCCUUCUCCUCCUUUUUCCAGAGUCUGCAGUCCUGAGCCUUUGGGACUCACCCCCAUCACUCCUGCCCUCUGCCUUGCCCACCUCAACUCUCCACCUCGGGGGACGCACCUCAUGGGCAUGAGGUGGGGGUGGGCCGGCCAAGAUGUAGAGGGGGCUCCCUGGUCCACAGCCUCAGUUCCCAUCCUAUUUCCUCUCCCCAGUAUGAGGAACGGGGGGACAACAAACAGGGUCCCGGACCCCCCAGGAGCCUUGCAGUCUUGGAUGUCCCAGAGGUCCCCCCACCCCCAGCCCUUGGCCACUCCUCCCAACACCGCAGGCAGUGGUCGAGGCUGGGCUAAGGAAUUUCCAACUUUCUCACGAUAGAUGCAGGCGGGUGCCGGUUUUCAGCUGAGAUGCCAUGGUGUCUGCUCUGGAGUGAUUCUGUAAUUGCACAGUGCAGUAACGGCACUUGACCCUUGAUUAUUAAAUUGUAUUUAUGUAAUUACAGUGUAUAAAUAUACAUGCACA
This 1147-nucleotide long non-coding RNA is filed under the name Homo sapiens (human). RNAcentral's name for it is "HSALNT0235423". The record is from RNAcentral. Lineage: Eukaryota; Metazoa; Chordata; Mammalia; Primates; Hominidae.